Molecule: non-coding RNA, 325 nt
Organism: Vigna umbellata (rice bean)
Lineage: Eukaryota; Viridiplantae; Streptophyta; Magnoliopsida; Fabales; Fabaceae
Source: RefSeq, a predicted model, not a curated record
CAAGUCUCCUCCACCACCAUACGUCUAUUCAUCACCACCUCCCCCUCACCACUACUAGACACGAUUUACUAUACCACCCCAUGGAUCUGAAGAAGAACGUGUGCAAAUAAAGGGGAUGGAUUGAUGGAAGGAAGAAGCACCAUAGGGUUUAUACAGUGAAGAGAGGAACGUGUUUUACGAAAGUUGUGUUUAUUUGGUUUCGCUUUCUUUUUUAUUUUGUAUUUUAAAUAUUCAAUGUUUUUAUGCACUGUUCUGAUCUGAUGAUCCACGUGGUCUUUGCCCAGUUAUUAUAUCAUAUAAUAAAUAAAUGCCCUGAUUUUUUUCA